GAUCGCACCGGUGGCCUAGCGGUUAGUGCAUCCGCCUAUGAUGCGAGAGGUCGUGGGUUCGAACCCCGGCCGAAUCA
Molecule: non-coding RNA, 77 nt
Organism: Potamilus streckersoni
Lineage: Eukaryota; Metazoa; Mollusca; Bivalvia; Unionida; Unionidae
Source: the annotation of a GenBank genome assembly